UGUUUGGUCAACAAGCCCAACAGCAAGGCUACAGCCUUUGUGCAUCAUUCGCAGAUUAGCUCCCAAACCCAGCUGUGAAAUGUUUCCAUUGUCUGCCCUUGGAAGGUAAUGAUUUCUUAAUAUUGAUGGUCCGAAAAUUAAUCUCUUUCCAAUGUCAAGAAGGUGGGGAUUUAAUGUGUCGCAUCAGUCACUAAUUAAUUCUUGACCAAACCGGCAGUUUUAAGAGGAACAACGGAAUGUAUAGAGAAUGGUUGUCAUUUAAAGGAAUCCCUUCUUGGGGGGUCAGUGAGCUUGUUUUGGGUCUAAUUCAUUCAUUACCAUUGUGAUCGAAGGAGCCAAGCCCUGUUCCCAUAGUAGGAUCAGCAGCAUUUUUAAUCACUCGGUCGAAGUUCACACUAAAACCUGAAGCGGAUGCACCAGUUGGCUGACUUGGGAACCCACCACUACUGCUGCAAUGCAGCCUCUGUAAUACCCAGUUUCCAAAAGGUUCAUAUUGUAAUCCUUGCUUUGCCUUCCCCGAUGCCAAUGUAAUUGUAAGUAGCAGAAACCGUAGGUCUCUUGAAUAUAUUUAAACCAAAGAACAGGAGAGCAGAAGCAGAACAUAUCAGCCGGUUCAGAAAAGGAGCAAAUUAUUCUUUCUUUUGCACGUUUUUAUUUUUUACACCUUCCCUCCCAACCCUCUCAUCUGCAUCUCCUCCAUCCAGCAGAUUUUUUUCAAAGCCAGCACUGAACCGGGUGAUCUUCCUCCUCCUGAAACUGCCUCGGCAAAACCUUGCUCUAUAGACGGCCCGUAGUGAGAGUUCUCUUGAGGAAGGAGGACACAAGUGAACACCUAAAUGAAUUAAACUAGUUUUAACUAGCAUGUUUAUCCUUCAGCCCCUCAUUCUCCAUCAGCCUCCAUUGCCCCCCAGUUUCAUGUCUCUAUUCCUCAGCUUCACAUAACACAGAGGGCUCUUCCACCUCUUCUUCUCAUGUUGCAAUAAUCUUGCAAUUGCCUUGCACAUAUAAUAAUAAUAAUAAUAAUAAUAAUAAUAAUAAUAAUAAUAAUAAUAAUAAUAAUAAUUUUAUUUUUGUACCCCGCCUCCAUCUCCGCGGGGGAACUCGGCGCAGCUUACAAAUACAAAAUGAAAGUACAAUAACAUCAAGUACCGAACAACACCCAAAUGAAAAUUAAAAAGACAUAAAAUAAAAUGACAACCAUUAAUAAAACACACUGAGUGCACUAAGUGAGACUUGUAAACAUGGUGGAAGUUAAUGAAAGGUUUUUAAGAACUUAAAAUUAGCUGGAGGUUUUGCUAGAUCACAGGUGGAUGAUGGGUUGGAAGGUGCUAUGCUUGUCCUUGGUUCAUAGAAUCAUAGAGUUGGAAGAAACCAUAUGGGGAGUGGAGGAUAGGCGCAUAAGUGGAUGAUGUCAUAAGUGGAUAAUGGGUUGGAAGGUGCCAUGCUUUUCCAGGCGUCAUAGACUCAUAAAGGUGGAAGAGACUAUAAGGGCCAUUCAGUGGAUGAUGGGUGCAUAAGUAGAUGAUGCCAUAGUUUGGAAGGUGCCAUACUUUUCUGGGUGCCAUAGAAUCAUAGAAUUGGAAGAGACCAUAAGGGCCAUUCAGUGGAUGAUGGGUGCAUAAGUCAAUGUUUUGCUGAGUCAGAAGGGGAUGAUGGGGUGGACGGUGCCAUACUUUUCUGGGUGCCACAGAAUCAUAGAAUUGGAAGAGAUCAUAAGAACCAUUCAGUGAGUGAUGGGUGCAUAAGUAGAUGAUGUUUGCUGGGUCAGAAGGGGAUGAUGGGGUGGACGGUGCCAUACUUUUCUGGGUGCCAUAGAAUCAUAGAAUUGGAAGAGACCAUAAGGGCCAUUCAGUGGAUGAUGGGUGCAUAAGUCAAUGUUUUGCUGAGUCAGAAGGGGAUGAUGGGGUGGACGGUGCCAUACUUUUCUGGGUGCCACAGAAUCAUAGAAUUGGAAGAGAUCAUAAGAACCAUUCAGUGAGUGAUGGGUGCAUAAGUAGAUGAUGUUUGCUGGGUCAGAAGGGGAUGAUGGGGUGGACGGUGCCAUACUUUUCUGGGUGCCAUAGAAUCAUAGAAUUGGAAGAGACCAUAAGAGCCAUUCAGUGGGUGAUGGGUGUAUAAGUCAAUGUUUUGCUGAAUCAGAAGUGGAUGAUGGGAUAGAAGGUGCCAUACUUUUCUGGGUGCCAUAGAAUCAUAGAAUUGGAAGAGACCAUAAGGGCCAUUCAGUGGAUGAUGGGUGCAUAAGUCAAUGUUUUGCUGAGUCAGAAGUGGAUGAUGGGGUGGACGGUGCCAUACUUUUCUGGGAGAGUUGGAAGAGACCAUAAGGGCCAUCCAGUGGGUGAUGGGUGCAUAAGUGGAUGAGGAAUUGGAAAAUGCCGUUCCAAUUCCCUUGCUGUGUUGAGGGAGUGCAUCACAGCUUAUCCACACACGAUGGCUUGUUCUUCAAUGUGUUUGCACUUGGGGAUGUCAUCCAAAAGCAUUUGUGGGGUCUGCCUUUUGAGUGUGCGAAAGGGGAGGAUGUUGGACUGAGGGACCUAAAAUGGAACAUGAGAUUGGAGUGAAACCUGCUGCUCUUUCUUAUGACUGGAAACCUCUCCAGGGCAGUGCCCUGGAAGACGGAGAUAAAGAGGCUCCUCCUGCUUCGGAGACGGCCAGCAAAUGCCAAUGCUUGCAAGGGAGUCCCCUGAGCAAUGCUCCCUGCUUGCCUCCAUUUGAGAGGGAUGGACUAAAUGACCUCUGAAGAGCCCUCUCAACCUUGGACAGUAAUAAGCUCAUGACUGGCAGACUCUUGCAAAAGUGCGAGUCCAGUUCCAAAAAAAAACAAACCCGUGUUCUCUUCUCACAAAUCACAAUAAACUCACGUUUGUUUGGUCACCGAUGUUUAAUUUGACUUGGGCAACCGUUGCGUCUCAUCGCCAUGUGAGGACGGUUUGGCAAAGGAAGUCCCAAACUGGCCUUGUUUUGUGGGAGCCCAGUCCACUUUCUGCCGACAACAACAACAAGAACCACAACAACCAACAGGCGACGUUCAGAAGGAACAAUUCCCUUUGUGGACCUGCAGAAAAUUUCUAUGGAUAUAGGGGAUUUUUUGGGGGUAAAAAACGAACAACAACAAAAGCAUUUUGUAAUGAUUUUUGGUUUCAUAGUAACUGUGUUACUUGCAGCUCAUUCUAGGCGGAUGUAAAUAAAUAAAUAAAUAAAACAAAUUUCCAAAAAAUGAAACAAAUAAAAAAAUGAGUUUAAAAGUUUUAAAAAGAAAGGAGACAAAUCUCUGGUUAUUUUCCUUUUUAAAGAACACUGUGAUCUAUCCAAGUGCACAGUUUGCUGUAUGAGGUGACAUUGUUUUAAAUUUUAAAUAAAAAAAUACCAUAAUUUCUCUAAAA
Long non-coding RNA from Anolis carolinensis (green anole), 3380 nucleotides. RefSeq lists it as uncharacterized. Lineage: Eukaryota; Metazoa; Chordata; Lepidosauria; Squamata; Anolidae. The transcript has 2 exons. The record is from RefSeq and is a predicted model, not a curated record.